UGUGGAGCAGCCAGGUCUUGAACUGGUGCCCAUGUGGGAUGCCGGCGCUCAGGCCAGGGUGUUAACCCGUAGCGCCACAGUGCCAACCCCUGUUGGGUUAAUCUCUUGAAUAUAAAGUAAACUGAAAAUAAAUCUUUGUAAAAAUUAAGAGUGAGAAUAGUAGAGAAAGGAGGAAGAAAGGUGGGAGUGUGUUCAGGAGUGGUGGUAGGGUGAGAAGACUCACUAUGUUCUGAUAUCUAUAUGUAUGAAAUGUGUAUACCUUAAAUAAAAAUAAGAAAGAAAUCAAAAAAGAAAAAAAUCAAUAUAUUAAACCUAAAAAAUACAAACUUAUUUUUUCUUUUUUAGCUCUUUCUCAUUCUACUUUAUUAAAAUAUGGUACCAAAAAUGGCUUUGGAGAAUAUUAAAAUAGAAGAUUACCUUUGGAUUCAGGUAAAGAGCAAAAAAAGUCAUGAAGGAUGAAAUAAAACCUCAGUGUGUAUACAGAAGGUGAUUAAUUCUCAUGGAGCUGCUCAUAUGUAUUUGAUACUUAAUAAAAGAUUUUCAAUUAAUUAUGAUGUGUGGGAC
This 564-nucleotide long non-coding RNA is filed under the name Oryctolagus cuniculus (rabbit). RNAcentral describes it as "lncRNA (ENSOCUG00000032599.1)". Lineage: Eukaryota; Metazoa; Chordata; Mammalia; Lagomorpha; Leporidae. The record is from RNAcentral.